CUUAUUGUAAAAAGUUCUUCGGCUCAGGUCAGAAAAAAAUAUUAUUGAAGACUUUAGGGGUAUUUCAAAAACACGCAAUCGUUGCAUUAGCAGUCACCAAAUACGACCUUCUUGAGAAAAGGGAAUUCGUCGUCAAAAUCCCGGAAAAUCGUCUGCUUCCCGCUGUGCGUCAACCGAGAGACAUAAGUUUGUGGAAAUUUGGUUGACCUAUUACCUAGUGAUAUUUCACCGUGAUAUUUCAGUACGAGUUAUAACAAAGAAAAUCCAUAUUCAAGACAACCAUAAGACAAAGAAGCAGGACAAAAAACACUGGAAGAACCACAACCAAGAAUAAGCAAUAAUUGACAACAGAAAUGGAGUGCAGCCAAAUGGGACCGAUUUUUCGUGAUCCCUCCCACAGCUCCCUACUCUGACAACACCCUUCUCUUCCAACAAUGCCUCCAAAAACAAGUAGGUAAAGUCUCUUUCCGUAGCCGACCCGACCGCUCCUGUCUUGUAACAGUAACAUCCGAAAACCAAGCCAUAGCAUUAACAAAACUAACUGACCUAUAUGGUAACCCCAUCCUAGCAGAACCCCAUCCAACCCUCAAUACUUGCACCGGAACAGUCUCAAUCUCACCAACAAAUUGCCCAAUCUAUGACAAAGAUUGGUCAGAUUGUGGAGAAGAUCUACUUGCCUGUCUCACAGACUACGAUGCAACAUCAGUACAAUGCUAUUCCAUCCCCCCCAGAGGUCAUCGAAAGAAACCCACUAACAUAGCCAAAAUUA
This is a long non-coding RNA of Penaeus indicus, 769 nucleotides long. RefSeq lists it as uncharacterized. NCBI's taxonomy places the organism in Eukaryota, Metazoa, Arthropoda, Malacostraca, Decapoda, Penaeidae. The transcript has 3 exons. The record is from RefSeq and is a predicted model, not a curated record.